UGCAGUCGAGCGGACAGAUGGGAGCUUGCUCCCUGAUGUUAGCGGCGGACGGGUGAGUAACACGUGGGUAACCUGCCUGUAAGACUGGGAUAACUCCGGGAAACCGGGGCUAAUACCGGAUGGUUGUUUGAACCGCAUGGUUCAAACAUAAAAGGUGGCUUCGGCUACCACUUACAGAUGGACCCGCGGCGCAUUAGCUAGUUGGUGAGGUAACGGCUCACCAAGGCAACGAUGCGUAGCCAACCUGAGAGGGUGAUCGGCCACACUGGGACUGAGACACGGCCCAGACUCCUACGGGAGGCAGCAGUAGGGAAUCUUCCGCAAUGGACGAAAGUCUGACGGAGCAACGCCGCGUGAGUGAUGAAGGUUUUCGGAUCGUAAAGCUCUGUUGUUAGGGAAGAACAAGUACCGUUCGAAUAGGGCGGUACCUUGACGGUACCUAACCAGAAAGCCACGGCUAACUACGUGCCAGCAGCCGCGGUAAUACGUAGGUGGCAAGCGUUGUCCGGAAUUAUUGGGCGUAAAGGGCUCGCAGGCGGUUUCUUAAGUCUGAUGUGAAAGCCCCCGGCUCAACCGGGGAGGGUCAUUGGAAACUGGGGAACUUGAGUGCAGAAGAGGAGAGUGGAAUUCCACGUGUAGCGGUGAAAUGCGUAGAGAUGUGGAGGAACACCAGUGGCGAAGGCGACUCUCUGGUCUGUAACUGACGCUGAGGAGCGAAAGCGUGGGGAGCGAACAGGAUUAGAUACCCUGGUAGUCCACGCCGUAAACGAUGAGUGCUAAGUGUUAGGGGGUUUCCGCCCCUUAGUGCUGCAGCUAACGCAUUAAGCACUCCGCCUGGGGGAGUACGGUCGCAAGACUGAAACUCAAAGGAAUUGACGGGGGCCCGCACAAGCGGUGGAACAUGUGGUUUAAUUCGAAGCAACGCGAAGAACCUUACCAGGUCUUGACAUCCUCUGACAAUCCUAGAGAUAGGACGUCCCCUUCGGGGGCAA
Molecule: ribosomal RNA, 992 nt
Filed under: Bacillus subtilis
Lineage: Bacteria; Bacillati; Bacillota; Bacilli; Caryophanales; Bacillaceae
Description: bacterial SSU rRNA
Rfam family: Bacterial small subunit ribosomal RNA
Source: RNAcentral